GUGACCGUGGCUCAACUGGAUAGAGCGUCAGCCGGUGAAGCUGAAAGUUGCGGGUUCAAAUCCCGUCGGCCACCCA
RNAcentral lists this transfer RNA (76 nucleotides) under Candidatus Roizmanbacteria bacterium. Its description in RNAcentral is "tRNA-His". It matches the Rfam family "tRNA". Rfam says of the family: Transfer RNA (tRNA) molecules are approximately 80 nucleotides in length. Their secondary structure includes four short double-helical elements and three loops (D, anti-codon, and T loops). The record is from RNAcentral. Lineage: Bacteria; Candidatus Roizmaniibacteriota.